Molecule: ribosomal RNA, 477 nt
Filed under: uncultured bacterium
Lineage: Bacteria
Description: partial 16S ribosomal RNA
Rfam family: Bacterial small subunit ribosomal RNA
Source: RNAcentral
GAUUAACGCUGGCGGCGUGCAUAACACAUGCAAGUCGAACGAUGAAACUUUAAUGAACCCUUCGGGGAGAAUUAAAGCGGAUUAGUGGCGAACGGGUGAGUAACGCGUGAGUAACCUGCCUUACACAAGGGGAUAGCCUUUGGAAACGAAGAAUAAUACCCUAUAAAACCAUAAAAGCACAUGCAAUUAUGGUCAAAGUGAUAGCGGUGUAAGAUGGACUUGCGUCUGAUUAGCUAGUUGGUGAGAUAAAAGCCCACCAAGGCAACGAUCAGUAGCCGGCUUGAGAGAGUGUACGGCCACAUUGGGACUGAGACACGGCCCAGACCCCUACGGGAGGCAGCAGUGGGGAAUUUUGCACAAUGGGGGAAACCCUGAUGCAGCGACGCCGCGUGAUUGAGAAGGCCUUCGGGUUGUAAAAAUCUUUUGUAUAGGAAGAAAAUGACAGUACUAUACGAAUAAGGUCCGGCUAAUUACGUG